This is a small nuclear RNA of Fukomys damarensis (Damara mole-rat), 100 nucleotides long. The record is from Ensembl. NCBI's taxonomy places the organism in Eukaryota, Metazoa, Chordata, Mammalia, Rodentia, Bathyergidae.
GUGUUCUUUGGCAACACAUUCUAACCUUGGAGUGAUACAGAGAUCAGCAUGGCUGCUGGGCAAGGAUGGCACACACAUUCACGAAGCGUUCCAUGUUUUU